AUAAUUAUCAAGUAAUUAAAACUCUUUCAAUAUCCAUGAGAACACUCGAACAGAGAACUGAAGAGUCAAAGCUCAUCGAAACCCUAAGCUUGCGAUAGAUAUCUCCACCGCCAUCUCCGCCGCUGCCUCCGCCGCCAUGGCCGCCGCUAGAGUUCAUCUUCUUUCUACUUCUGCCAUAAAGCCAUUGAGAUCGAGCCAAGGCAUCUCUUUCACCAACGCGUUUCCAAAUCUAAUCGCAACGCCCAAGCCUUUGAGAUCGAGAGAAAGUACCUCUUCGGUCAACUCUCCUCCGCCAAUGACGCUCAUGUUCUCCAUCGGCAUUCUAUCCCUUGUGUACGCUCUUCUUUCCACUCGUUCUCAGUUUCUGGUUCUCCUUCUCUUUUUCCUUUUUAUUCGUUUUUGUUGUUUUUCAUCCGCAAAUUCUGAAUGCUUUGCUAUGUGAUAUAACAUUGUUUCAAAUUAUCAAGCACUCCAAGUAUUUGAUGAAUUGUUUAUUCUCUUAAUUGAAAUUCUGAUAAAUUAAUUUGCUAAUUUUUGAAUUUUGAUUUCGUGAUACUCUUUUAUUUUGAUACUAAUAUUUCGUGAUACUGAUAAAUUGAGAUUCAAGUGUGUUCCCUACAGCAUUGGGUGUGAAUCCAAUGAUCACUGUUCAGGCUAUAGCUUAUUACACAACACAAUCUGUUCUUGAAGUUCUUGGAAGGAAAAGGUGUUGAUGAAUUAUAUAAAAAAAAAACUUUUCUCUGCUUCUGUAUCUCCAGUGGUCUAGAAUGAAAAUCUUUGUUCAAAUAACACACGUUGAGAAAAAGAAAAUUGUAAUAACUGUUAAGAGAGUUGUUCAAUCAUUCUGAGUGUUUAGUGUAUUAGUGUUUAUUUUGUCAUAACAUCUUUUAGUUAAAACUUUUGAGGCUUUAAUAGUCAUCUUAAGUUAGUAAAAAGUAGAUUUAGACAACCUUCAUGUCCUUACAUAACACUGAAUAUUUUUUCUAAUCUUAUAUAUUUCAAUGGCACAUAUAUACAGUGAGAGAAACUUGACAUCUAUAUCAAAUUGAAAUUUAAGAUGAUAGUGAUAUACUUUUGGACCAAGUUUAGUAAAAAUUUGAGAAGACCAUGGCAGAUUAUCUUUGAAGCUCAAACAAUACAUUUUCAGUAUCAAUGAACAAGGCAGCCACAUGAGUUUAGAAUUCAGAUCUGAUUAAUAACAUAAUUAAUAAAUUAAUUUUAUUUAGAAACAGCUAUGUUGCAUGGUGUUUGUUAAAUCUCAAAUUGGCUACGUCUAUGAUCACAUAAUAAAAAAUUUAUGCAGACUUCAUGAUUUGAAGCAGUUAGGUGAGUCAACUUACUACAUAUGAAUGAUAUUUUGUUAUUAUUACUUCUAAUUCCACUAUUUUGUUAUUAUUACUAAUAUGAUAUGAUAUUUUGCCUAGGAUUACUGCAUGAUGUUGGCCAUGGUCCCUUCAGCCACAUGUUUGAGGGCAAGUUCCUUUCCCGGGUCUUUAAUGGUGACAAAUGGUCCCAUAAGAAAAUGUCAGCGAAGAUGAUAGAUUACAUGGUUGAUGAACAUAAUAUUGAUAUUGAUCCUGAACUCCUCAAGAAAGUGAAGGGUCUAUGCAUCAGUUUGAAAGUGAAGUAUGCUCUCUUAUUUCUAUUUACUGUUCUGUUUUCAUCAUUUAGCCUUUGAGAUGAAGCAUGGAAGAGAGGUGACACAUUUGGUGGCAAUAGAGGGCUCCGUCCAGUGCCUCCUGAAAAGAGUAUUUUCCCAUUAGACCACAUGCAUUUAUGUGACCUGGUCAUAAGGAAAGUAAUUAAUUCUUCCCUUAUUUGGUCAUAAGGAAGAUGUUUACAAGGAAUUAUUAGGGGAUAAAUUAUUUCUCAUCAAUUUUUUGUGUGUUGUGUUUGUUUCAGGAGAAGAAAGAAUAUUUGGGUUGUCUGAAAACUGCGGGUCACCAGUCUGAAAAAUGCAGGGACUUCUCGAAAAAGUACUUGUAGUGCUGAAUGGAAAAUACAAAAGAUUGGAGCAUAAAGCAGAAGAAAAGGUACAAGCCCUGAAGGAGAUUAGAGAGACAGUGAAUCACAGGAAUCAUAUAGAUGGCAGUGUGAAAUUGAUUAGUACUUCAUUAUUUGGUGUUCCUAAAGUUAAGCAACAAUUUGUGUAUUUGUUGGAAUAAAUGAAGUCUCAGCUCAAAGUUGCUGCUGUUGUUGCUAUUAGCUAGCUUUGGAUUCAGCACUCAUUCCAUGGACCCGAAAUGGUAACUCAUAGACGGGGUUGAGGACGGAAGGAGAAUAAGGGAUCUGCUUCUACUGGCAAUAAGGCCGAAUUUCUGGCAGCAAUGACCUAACUUAUCAACAAUAUACAAGCUAGUGCGGCAACUACAAAUCAAGCGAUGAGAGAAUGAAUGAAAAUGGUAACGAAUUUGGAGGAAGCUCAACUGAAGUUCCAAUGACAUUGGCAACCUUUUUGAAGGUUAACCCCUCUAUGUUCAGAGGAUCGAAUAACCUGACGAAAGCUUACAACUGAUUUAGAGCAAUAGGGAGAGCAUUGCAGGCGCAACACGUAUCCGAAGGUCAAUUGGUGGAGUUUGCUGCUUAUCAACUGCUGGAAAAGCUCAACAUUGGUGGCAAGGAGCUUACCAUCUUCUUCAACAAGGAAACAGAAAUGAGGUGAUCACUUGGAAGGUUUUUCGAGAAAAGUUUUACAAGAAGCAUUUCCUGAAUUCCGUGAGACAAGCCAAGGAGGUAGAGCUACUUCAACUAAGACAAGAAACAAUGACCGUGUCUGCUUAUACAAGUAAGUUUGAGGAGCUGUGUCAUUUCUCAAGAGUUUGUCAGGGAGCUCUUAAAGGGUAUGAGGAGUGAAAGUGCAUGAAGUACUAGGACGGUUUGAGAGAUGAUAUUAUACGAGCUGUGGUACCUCUUGAGAUUAAGAGUUUUGUGGAGUUGGUGAACAAAAGUCAUGUGGUGGAAGAUUUCUCUAGGAAGAAUAUGAAUGCGAGUACUAGUCGUGGUGGUUACUACAACCGAGGAGGUGCGAGGUCCUUUGCUCCCAGGGACCGAAACUUCAAGAGAGGGAUUAUGUUCAAUAACCUCAACGUGGUUGAGCUACUUUCCAAGGGAACAACAACUAUCAAGGAAGGAGGUACGGAAGGCAACCUCAAAAUGAAUUGACUUGUAGACGAUGUGGAAGCUAUCAUCCGAAAACCUCAUAUUGAGCUAGACUGGGGCUUUGUUACAGUUAUGAAGGAGCUGGUCACAUGUCCUAGAACUAUCCUGAAAAGACCAACUGGAAUACUGGUAGAGCCCAAUAGCAAGACCGUGUGUAUGCUAUCACGGUAGAUGAUGCUACUAAGUCAGAUAAUUUGAUCAGAAAUAAAUGUGACAUUGGUGUUAAAGUGUUAACUAAUUUGUAUGAUACUGGAGAAUUUCAUUCAUUCAUAGACUUUGAUAAGGUUGCUAUAUUAGGAUUAAGGGUGUUGACAUUAUCAUUUGAUUUGCAUAUGCAUACCCCUACUUCCAAAA
Arachis ipaensis is the source of this 3513-nucleotide non-coding RNA. The record is from RefSeq and is a predicted model, not a curated record. Lineage: Eukaryota; Viridiplantae; Streptophyta; Magnoliopsida; Fabales; Fabaceae.